This 428-nucleotide long non-coding RNA is filed under the name Polistes fuscatus (common paper wasp). RNAcentral's name for it is "uncharacterized LOC122517034". The record is from RNAcentral. Lineage: Eukaryota; Metazoa; Arthropoda; Insecta; Hymenoptera; Vespidae.
UGUUGGGAAUGAAAAAAUAAACGAAUUUUGUGAAACUAGAACGUGAUGAAACGUUGAGAUCGUCAUUUUCAAGAGUCCUCGUUAGGUACACAAACUCCGAGAGUUCGUCCUCUGAACCUUAUAAUGUUUAUGUUACUCAAGCGAGAAUUCCCGUAAGAUCCAAUCUCUUCUCAUGGGGCAGUUCAGAAGAUACGAGCAAUCUCCUCGAUCUUAGACACCACACGGAAAGAAAAAGAAAAAGAGAACAGAUUGCCAAAUCUUUAAUCGUUCCUUCUGUAAUUCGUUGAUAGUAGAGGGGGAUAAAUUUCCGAAGUUUGUUCUCUGCGACGUGACUCGGCUGUUUUUGUGAACUUUAAAUCAUGACAUGCUCAUCUAUAUUUUCGUGACGAGAAUGUCGCGAGACGAGGUAAAAUACAUACAGAGAGAAA